Molecule: long non-coding RNA, 1005 nt
Filed under: Zalophus californianus (California sea lion)
Lineage: Eukaryota; Metazoa; Chordata; Mammalia; Carnivora; Otariidae
Description: lncRNA (ENSZCAG00015023570.1)
Source: RNAcentral
AUGCCCCUGCCCUGGCAUUGCCACCUCAGGUCCCUGCCUGGAAGAAGCAUUAUGGGCCAGGAGACAGGGGUCAGGGAUGGAGCCUGGGGCAGGGACCAGGAAACAACAGCUCAGUGUAGGUGGGGGAAGGGGUGUUUGCUUCCAGAAACACCAUCCUCUCUAGGUCUGAGCCUGGUGGUCCUUUCCAAGUGUCAGUGCCUUAGGGAUCCCUCGGUGGUGGCCCUUCGGUUUGGAGACCCCUCUGAGAGGAGGCACUUUGGAGGGGCCCCUCUGUGGCCUUCAGUCCCAAGGGCCCUUUCUUGGAGGCUCACGCGGCCCCAAGGGGUCAUGAGGCUGCUUGUCUCCAAGGCUUGUUUGUGCAGGGACCCCGCCCGCCCACACGCUCCCGCCCGCUCUUCCCAGCAGAGAAGCCCGGAGUCAGGCAAACAGCCGGCUGCGGUCAGCCUGCGGUCAGGCCGCAGAGACCCCGCCCCGCAGGGGCAGCGGGCACAAGGCCGAGCCCACUCCUCCAGCCCCUUCCCGCCACUCCCCUCCACGAGGACAGCGGCCGGCCCCCCCCAAAGCCUCCCGAACCCCAGUCCGAGCUGGCUCGGGGAGAUGCCCGGGAGUCCCGGGGCGGGGGGUGGUGGGGGCGAGGCGCGGGAAGGCGCCCGGCCCCCAGGGUGGGGGGCACGGGACUCACCGCGGCAGGGGGAGGUGGGCGCAGGAGCCGGAGGGCAGGAGGGAGCGGAGCCCCAGCCCAGCCCGGAGGUGUCCAGCUUCUGCCUUGAUGCCGGAGGGAGGAGACCGCCCAGGCCCGCCUCUCACCCGCCUCCCGCCCCCCAGCAGCCGGGCGGGGUGCCCGGGUCCCUCCGCCCGUCCCGGCCCACGCGCGCCCCUCUGCAGGGGGCAGGCGGGAAGGCGCCUCCGGGACAGACCCCCCUCCGGGCACCGGGCGUCUGCCGCCCCGGUGUGCUCUGCAUCCUAGAGGCCCGAGAGGGAGCCCUGCCCGGGAGUUCGGUCUGA